ACACGGCCCAGACUCCUACGGGAGGCAGCAGUGGGGAAUAUUGGACAAUGGGGGGAACCCUGAUCCASCCAUGCCGCGUGUGUGAAGAAGGCCUUAUGGUUGUAAAGCACUUUAAGCGAGGAGGAGGCUUACCUGGUUAAUACCUAGGAUAAGUGGACGUUACUCGCAGAAUAAGCACCGGCUAACUCUGUGCCAGCAGCCGCGGUAAUACAGAGGGUGCAAGCGUUAAUCGGAAUUACUGGGCGUAAAGCGCGCGUAGGUGGCCAAUUAAGUCAAAUGUGAAAUCCCCGAGCUUAACUUGGGAAUUGCAUUCGAUACUGGUUGGCUAGAGUAUAGGAGAGGAAGGUAGAAUUCCAGGUGUAGCGGUGAAAUGCGUAGAGAUCUGGAGGAAUACCGAUGGCGAAGGCAGCCUUCUGGCCUAAUACUGACACUGAGGUGCGAAAGCAUGGGGAGCAAACAGGAUUAGAUACCCUGGUAGUCCAUGCCGUAAACGAUGUCUACUAGCCGUUGGGUCCUUUGAGGACUUAGUGGCGCAGCUAACGCGAUAAGUAGACCGCCUGGGGAGUACGGUCGCAAGACUAAAACUCAAAUGAAUUGACGGGGGCCCGCACAAGCGGUGGAGCAUGUGGUUUAAUUCGAUGCAACGCGAAGAACCUUACCUGGCCUUGACAUAGUAGAAACUUUCUAGAGAUAGAUUGGUGCCUUCGGGAAUCUACAUACAGGUGCUGCAUGGCUGUCGUCAGCUCGUGUCGUGAGAUGUUGGGUUAAGUCCCGCAACGAGCGCAACCCUUUUCCUUAUUUGCCAGCACUUCGGGUGGGAACUUUAAGGAUACUGCCAGUGACAAACUGGAGGAAGGCGGGGACGACGUCAAGUCAUCAUGGCCCUUACGGCCAGGGCUACACACGUGCUACAAUGGUCGGUACAGAGGGUUGCUACACAGCGAUGUGAUGCUAAUCUCAAAAAGCCGAUCGUAGUCCGGAUUGGAGUCUGCAACUCGACUCCAUGAAGUCGGAAUCGCUAGUAAUCGCGGAUCAGAAUGCCGCGGUGAAUACGUUCCCGGGCCUUGUACACACCGCCCGUCACACCAUGGGAGUUUGUUGCACCAGAAGUAGAUAGUCUAACCCUCGGGAGGACGUUUACCACGGUGU
This 1149-nucleotide ribosomal RNA is filed under the name Acinetobacter sp. Its description in RNAcentral is "bacterial SSU rRNA". RNAcentral also lists the same sequence under 1 other name. Lineage: Bacteria; Pseudomonadati; Pseudomonadota; Gammaproteobacteria; Moraxellales; Moraxellaceae. The record is from RNAcentral.